AGCUCUGUAAGCGUAUACCAAAGUUGUUGCAGUUAAAACGCUCGUAGUCGGAUUUUGGCGUGGUGCUUCUGAGAUGCCUGAUUGGGUGUCGAAGGUUAGUCCCGCCUUUGUGGAGGGGGGCGUGGUGGCGCUUUAUUGCGUUGCUGCGUUUCCGCCACUGUUUACUGUGAAAAAAUUAGAGUGUUCAAAGCGAGCGAUUGCCAUGAAUACAUUAGCAUGGAAUAAUAGAAUAGGACCUGGUCCUGUUUUGUUGGUUUGUCGGUAUCAGGUAAUGAUUAAGAGGGACGGUCGGGGGCAUUUGUAUUCCAGGGUUAGAGGUGAAAUUCUUAGAUCCUUGGAAGACAAACAGCUGCGAAAGCGUCUGCCAAGGACGUUUUCA
Molecule: ribosomal RNA, 379 nt
Filed under: uncultured eukaryote
Lineage: Eukaryota
Description: SSU rRNA
Rfam family: Eukaryotic small subunit ribosomal RNA
Source: RNAcentral